This 426-nucleotide ribosomal RNA is filed under the name uncultured bacterium. Its description in RNAcentral is "bacterial SSU rRNA". It matches the Rfam family "Bacterial small subunit ribosomal RNA", at positions 917 to 1344 of the family's 1533-position model. The record is from RNAcentral.
GGGCCCGCACAAGCGGUGGAACAUGUGGUUUAAUUCGACGCAACGCGAAGAACCUUACCUGGGUUUGACAUCCCGGCCGACACCAGAGAUGGUGUUUUCUCUUCGGAGACCGGGUGACAGGUGCUGCAUGGCUGUCGUCAGCUCGUGUCGUGAGAUGUUGGGUUAAGUCCCGCAACGAGCGCAACCCUUGCCCUCAGUUGCCAGCAGUUCGGCUGGGCACUCUGGGGGGACUGCCGGUGACAAGCCGGAGGAAGGUGGGGAUGACGUCAAGUCCUCAUGGCCUUUAUAUCCAGGGCUACACACGUGUUACAAUGGGGGUCACAAAGGGCAGCGAAACGGUGACGUGGAGCGAAUCCCAAAAAAGCCCUCUCAGUUCGGAUCGCAGUCUGCAACUCGACUGCGUGAAGCUGGAAUCGCUAGUAAUCG